CAGUCGACGAUACGGCCCUACCUUCGGGUGGGGUGUUCAGCUAAGUGGCGCACGGGUGAGUAAUGAUAGCUAACAUGCCCCAUAGAGGGGGAUAACGGCGGCUGGAAACGGCCGCUAAUACCCCAUACUCCUCUUUAACAUAAGUUAAAGAGGGAAAAGGAUUACCGCUAAGGGAUUGGGCUAUAUUGUAUCAGCUAGUUGGUAAGGUAACGGCUUACCAAGGCUAUGACGCAUAGCUGGUCUGAGAGGAUGAUCAGCCACACUGGAACUGAGACACGGUCCAGACUCCUACGGGAGGCAGCAGUGGGGAAUAUUGCGCAAUGGGGGGAACCCUGACGCAGCAACGCCGCGUGGAGGAUGACGCCCUUCGGGGUGUAAACUCCUUUUCUGAGGGAAGAAGGAGACGGUACUUCAGGAAUAAGCACCGGCUAACUCCGUGCCAGCAGCCGCGGUAAUACGGAGGGUGCGAGCGUUACUCGGAAUCACUGGGCGUAAAGGGCGCGUAGGCGGUUUGGUAAGUUGGAUGUGAAAGCCCACAGCUCAACUGUGGAACUGCGUCCAAAACUGCCAGACUAGAGUCCGGGAGAGGCAGGUGGAAUUUGGUGGUGUAGGGGU
This 615-nucleotide ribosomal RNA is filed under the name uncultured bacterium. RNAcentral describes it as "bacterial SSU rRNA". It matches the Rfam family "Bacterial small subunit ribosomal RNA", at positions 59 to 682 of the family's 1533-position model. The record is from RNAcentral.